RNAcentral lists this long non-coding RNA (880 nucleotides) under Homo sapiens (human). RNAcentral describes it as "HSALNT0001468". The record is from RNAcentral. Lineage: Eukaryota; Metazoa; Chordata; Mammalia; Primates; Hominidae.
ACUCAGAGUGCCAUGGAAGCCAUCUCCAAAGGAUGAGCACAGGCAGGCCCCGCGCCUGCCCGGAGGGAGCUGUAAGCAGAGGAAGGUGAAGUGGCCUGAAGAAAUGUCUGUACUGGAGACAGUCGGGGCUGUGUGCCUCUGCCUGACGCAACAUCAUUUCAGACGUGGAGGAAGGAUCUGUUGGCAGAUCUUGGGACUCAAAUGGGCUGGACUUCUAAGAAAAAAUAUACCCAGGCCUCUCUAUUCCACCAAUUUUCAUUCUUUCAUACAUACAUAUUUAUUUAUUUAAACAGACUUUAUAUUUUAGGCAGUUUUAGUUCACAGCAAAUUUGAGCAGAAAAUGCAGAGGUCCCAUAGACUUCCUUACCCAACAUACCCACGGCCUCCCGCUCUGUCAACACCCUGCAGCUGAUUCAUCUGACAGUCGAUGAAACGAUUCACACAUCAUUAUCACCCAAAGUCCAUCAUCUACAUUACAGACUCUUGGUGUCGUACAUUCUGUGCGAUUUGACAAAUGUACAAUGACGUGUACCUGCCAUUGCUGUGUCAUACAGAGUAAUUUCAGCGCCUGAUAAUCCUCCAUGCUCCGCCUGCUAACCUCUUCCUCCCCCAACCCCUGGUCCCCAAGGCUUUGCUUUUUCCAGAGUGUCACAUAGUUGGAAUCGUACGGAACAUAGCCUUUUCAGAGCGGCUUCUUUCACUUAAUAAUACGCAUUUACCUUUCCUCCAUGUUUGUUCACGGCUUGAUAGCUCAUUUCCACUGAAUAAUAUUCCAUGGUCUGGAUGUAGCCAUUUUCAUAUAUUUUUAAGAAGACAGACUGUUUCAUGGGGCGACAUGAUUUGUUAAUAACUAGUAUUAUAAUUAAACUUACAAUAAAAG